This 124-nucleotide non-coding RNA is filed under the name Castor canadensis (American beaver). The record is from RNAcentral. Lineage: Eukaryota; Metazoa; Chordata; Mammalia; Rodentia; Castoridae.
AUGUUACAUGAAAGGAAAGAAUAGGACUCCCCUCCACAAGGAUGGAAGAGGCUCUCAGGCCUAACAACACACAUAUGGGUGAGGCAUUACCUCCUACCUUGUGGCAUGGCAUCUACCCUGGUUU